CCUCCAACAUCUUCGGCUUUGAAUGCGGAGCUACCACCGUUGUUGGUAUCAAAAUCAGCUAGCGCCAAGGAAACUGCGCCGAUCUUGAUACCACCAAUGGUGGCGGCGCCGCCGCCAUUGGCCACCUCCGAAUUUGCAUCAUAACGCCAUCCUCCCAAUUUGAGGGAUUUUUUAAAGAUACGUGGCUUGGCUUAAGUUUGGAAUCAAGUGAGCAGUUAUAAUGUAUUGAAGUGGCUAAUUAUAUUUGGAGGUAUGGCCGUUUUCGCUUCGGAUCUCGGUUUCAUAAUGGAUUUGUUUUUCUUUUAAACAAGUAGCUUGGUCUCUCUUGAAGAAAUUACCCCAUAUAGUCUUUGUAUUCUCUGCUUGUAUUGCAUAAAAUAUUUGGAAGAGCUAGGAGAAAUUAAUUUUACUUUGAGCAAGAAACUCUUUCUUUAGCACAUAAAAAUUGGAUGUGAUUGUUUGAUAAGUACUUUUGAAGAGGAUUAGAACCUCCUGUAACAAACACUUUUACUUUGAGCAAGAAACUCUUUCUUCAGCA
This is a long non-coding RNA of Salvia splendens (bonfire salvia), 538 nucleotides long. RefSeq lists it as uncharacterized. The record is from RefSeq and is a predicted model, not a curated record. The transcript has 2 exons. NCBI's taxonomy places the organism in Eukaryota, Viridiplantae, Streptophyta, Magnoliopsida, Lamiales, Lamiaceae.